This 463-nucleotide ribosomal RNA is filed under the name uncultured bacterium. Its description in RNAcentral is "partial 16S ribosomal RNA". It matches the Rfam family "Bacterial small subunit ribosomal RNA", at positions 28 to 507 of the family's 1533-position model. The record is from RNAcentral.
GAUGAACGCUGACAGAAUGCUUAACACAUGCAAGUCUUUGGUGAAGCUGUGCUUGCACAGCCUAGCCAAGGCGGACGGGUGAGUAACGCGUAAGGAACUUGCCCUGCAGUCAGGGAUAACAGACGGAAACGACUGAUAAGACCUGGUAAAGUCAGGCGGACUCAUGUCCAGCCUGAUGAAAAGAGAUGCUGCAGGAGAGCCUUGCGUCCUAUUAGCUUGUUGGUGGGGUAACGGCCCACCAAGGCAAUGAUAGGUAGCCGGCCUGAGAGGGUGGACGGCCAAAAGGGGACUGGGAUACGGCCCUUACUACUACGGGAGGAAGCAGUGGGGAAUAUUGGACAAUGGGGGCAACCCUGAUCCAGCAAUUCUGUGUGCACGAUGAAGGUUUUCGGAUUGUAAAGUGCUUUCAGCAGGGAAGAAAAAAAUGACGGUACCUGCAGAAGAAGCGACGGCUAAAUACGUG